UGGCAAAAGAGACACUGAAGAUGUGGGUGAAGAUCUUGAGGUAGGGAUGGGAUCCAGGUGAGUCCAAUUGAAUCCCACUCGAGCCUUUAAAGGCAGAGAAGUGGUUCCACCUGAGGUCAGAGAGGGUCAGCUACAGAGGAGGCAGGCGAGGCGUCUGAGCUGCUCUCGGGGAAUGUGAGGCCUCUGGGGGCUCACCGCCUGCCAAGAGGCAGGCACCUCCAUCCUAACAGCACGUGGAACCAGGUUCACCCACCGGCGGAGCGACCCCAGCACCUCCAGUUGCAGCAUGUGGGUCUAGCUCCCUGACUGGUGAUCAGUCCUGAGCUCCCUGCAUUGGCAGCGUGGCGUCUUAACCACUGGACCACCAGAAGGGAGUCGCUGUAGCUGUUGACAUUUAAGAUCUGCACACCUGCUAAUCUGCCUUCCACUUCGGGAUUCUGUCCCACAGAAACGAAAGCACCUGCGCCUUAAGAAAAAAGUGGAGAGAUCAACGUCCGUGCAGUCAUGCCAUGAACUAAUUAUUACACAGCACAGAAAAGGCACAAACCGCCGCCAGCACAGAGACAACAGGGAUGAAGCUCACAAACAGGAUGAUGAAAGAAAGAAGCAAGUCACAGAGGAACACAUAAAGUACUCUUUGAUUUACAUAAAAUUCAGAAA
Bos taurus (domestic cattle) is the source of this 660-nucleotide long non-coding RNA. The record is from Ensembl. NCBI's taxonomy places the organism in Eukaryota, Metazoa, Chordata, Mammalia, Artiodactyla, Bovidae.